GAGUUUGAUCCUGGCUCAGAUUGAACGCUGGCGGCAUGCUUUACACAUGCAAGUCGAACGGCAGCGCGGGCUUCGGCCUGGCGGCGAGUGGCGAACGGGUGAGUAAUAUAUCGGAACGUACCCAGGGGUGGGGGAUAACGUAGCGAAAGUUACGCUAAUACCGCAUACGCUCUAUGGAGGAAAGCAGGGGACCGCAAGGCCUUGCGCGCUUGGAGCGGCCGAUAUCUGAUUAGCUAGUUGGUGGGGUAAAGGCUCACCAAGGCAACGAUCAGUAGCUGGUCUGAGAGGACGACCAGCCACACUGGGACUGAGACACGGCCCAGACUCCUACGGGAGGCAGCAGUGGGGAAUUUUGGACAAUGGGGGCAACCCUGAUCCAGCAAUGCCGCGUGAGUGAAGAAGGCCU
Molecule: ribosomal RNA, 406 nt
Filed under: uncultured beta proteobacterium
Lineage: Bacteria; Pseudomonadati; Pseudomonadota; Betaproteobacteria
Description: bacterial SSU rRNA
Rfam family: Bacterial small subunit ribosomal RNA
Source: RNAcentral